UACGUAGGGUGCGAGCGUUAAUCGGAAUUACUGGGCGUAAAGCGUGCGCAGGCGGUUUUGUAAGUCAGAUGUGAAAUCCCCGGGCUUAACCUGGGAACUGCGUUUGAAACUACAAGGCUAGAGUGUGGCAGAGGGGGGUGGAAUUCCACGUGUAGCAGUGAAAUGCGUAGAGAUGUGGAGGAAUACCGAUGGCGAAGGCAGCCCCCUGGGCCAAUACUGACGCUCAUGCACGAAAGCGUGGGGAGCAAACAGG
RNAcentral lists this ribosomal RNA (253 nucleotides) under uncultured bacterium. Its description in RNAcentral is "partial 16S ribosomal RNA". It matches the Rfam family "Bacterial small subunit ribosomal RNA", at positions 524 to 776 of the family's 1533-position model. The record is from RNAcentral.